Molecule: transfer RNA, 72 nt
Filed under: Alosa alosa (allis shad)
Lineage: Eukaryota; Metazoa; Chordata; Actinopteri; Clupeiformes; Clupeidae
Description: tRNA-OTHER
Source: RNAcentral
ACCGUGGCCUACUGGUUAGCGCUUCGGACUUGUAACCGGAGGGUUGCCGGUUCGAACCCCGACCAGUAGGUA